This 1123-nucleotide long non-coding RNA is filed under the name Monomorium pharaonis (pharaoh ant). RNAcentral describes it as "uncharacterized LOC105831574, transcript variant X3". Lineage: Eukaryota; Metazoa; Arthropoda; Insecta; Hymenoptera; Formicidae. The record is from RNAcentral.
UUAGAUUUAUGAAGUAACUGUAACUAUUAUAUGUAAUUAUCUUGUACCUUCUCGUGCUUUCCUUGCAUCUUUACUGUUUACAAUAAUAUUAUAUUGUUGAUUAUUUUCAUCUAUAAGACACAAUUCUUCUAAGGGCGUCGCCAUCUUUCUACUGCCGAUGCCUUAUCUCGCCGACGACAGUAACGGCUACGUUCCAAAAUUGAUUGCCAGCGCUGCGAGCGCUAAACAUUGCGUUCCAAAAAUCAUAGCAGCGCGCUGUAACAGCACUGUGACUGAAGGAUGACGUCAUCAAUUUUAACGUCACUUCCUGCUGUAGCUGCUCAGGCUAAAAAGGUGAAGCAGCUACAGCUUAAAAAUGGCGAAGAUCAUAGGCGAAUCUUUAACCUUAAUAGACGCUGAAGAGAAUAAAGAAUAUACAAUAAUUGUUUCUGAAGAAGACGCGACAAGAGCAAGGAAUGAUAAAUAUAUAGUUUUCGUAACGUAUAUUAUAGAAAUAUUUUAUUAAUAAAGUUAACUUAACCUAAUCUACUACCGACACUUUAUAAAAAUGCUCUUCGUGUUGUUAUCUUAUUUGAAAAUUUGUUUCUAGAUCACAUAUUUGCCUACUCAUUACUGAGUCAAGCAAAAAAAGAAAGUGCAGAGCAGCAAGUUAUGACAAUUAAAACUGGUGCGGUUGCUACUUGCCAGGAGAAUAGUGAUGUAUCAGAUGAUGCAGCUUAAAAUAAUAACGAUGCAGUUGCUACUUGUAGCCAGGCGAUUAGUGAUGUACCUUCAGAGAUGCAGCUUCAGAUAAUAAAGAACAACACAUAUGGAGUCGCGCAAAAACAUUACUGCUGUUAAAUUUAUAUAAAAAGCACAAUGAAUGCCACAAUCCGAAAAUAUCAUCCAAGAAAUUGUGGGAUAUAAUUUCCCAAAAAAUGGCUGUUCAAGGUUAUAUGAUAUCAGCAAUAAAAUGUGCGACGAAAUUCCAAUAUAUGAAAAGAACGUACAAGUCAAUCAGUGAUCAUAAUAAAAAAUCUGGAAACAAUCGAAAAAAAUGGGAAUAUUAUGAGGUUUCAUUUUUUCAGAAGUUUAUCCCAAAAGGAUAAAGAAAAUAACUUGCAAAAACGUCACGAGGAAAAAA